AAUCUGUGGUGAGGACAUCUCAUCAACAACUCUUUGAAUCUAUCCCAACAUUCAUAUAAACUUUCUUUCCUUUACAACAAAAGUUCAGAAUCUGCCUCUUUAGCACU
Vitis vinifera (wine grape) is the source of this 107-nucleotide small nucleolar RNA. It matches the Rfam family "Plant small nucleolar RNA R71". Rfam says of the family: R71 is a member of the C/D box family of snoRNAs containing the C (UGAUGA) and D (CUGA) box motifs. Multiple nearly identical copies of this snoRNA have been identified in Arabidopsis, and it is thought to function as a 2'-O-ribose methylation guide for 18S ribosomal RNA. The record is from Rfam. NCBI's taxonomy places the organism in Eukaryota, Viridiplantae, Streptophyta, Magnoliopsida, Vitales, Vitaceae.